UAGGAUGUAGUAUAAUUGGUAACACGAAGGUUUUUUAAUUCUUAGGUUUAGGUUCAAGCCCUAUAAUUCUAG
RNAcentral lists this transfer RNA (72 nucleotides) under Loxodonta africana (African savanna elephant). It matches the Rfam family "tRNA". From Rfam's summary of the family: Transfer RNA (tRNA) molecules are approximately 80 nucleotides in length. Their secondary structure includes four short double-helical elements and three loops (D, anti-codon, and T loops). Further hydrogen bonds mediate the characteristic L-shaped molecular structure. tRNAs have two regions of fundamental functional importance: the anti-codon, which is responsible for specific mRNA codon recognition, and the 3' end, to which the tRNAs corresponding amino acid is attached (by aminoacyl-tRNA synthetases). tRNAs cope with the degeneracy of the genetic code in two manners: having more than one tRNA (with a specific anti-codon) for a particular amino acid; and 'wobble' base-pairing, i.e. permitting non-standard base-pairing at the 3rd anti-codon position. The record is from Rfam by way of RNAcentral. Lineage: Eukaryota; Metazoa; Chordata; Mammalia; Proboscidea; Elephantidae.